Molecule: long non-coding RNA, 202 nt
Filed under: Elaeis guineensis (African oil palm)
Lineage: Eukaryota; Viridiplantae; Streptophyta; Magnoliopsida; Arecales; Arecaceae
Description: long non-coding RNA (EGUI_LNC060645)
Source: RNAcentral
UUGGGGUGUGCGCAAAAAUCUAAAUUUCAGAUUUUUGAUCUUUUGGAUUUGGGAAGAGAGAAUAAAUUAGAAGAAAAUUAUUUUCUUCUCUAUCUUUUUUUUACCUCUUCAUCUCCUCUAAAAGUUAAUCUUCAACCUUUGAAAAGAUUCUAGAGAUUUAAAGAAAGGAUCCAGAUCGACCAAGAAGAAGAUCUUCGCAUGA